RNAcentral lists this ribosomal RNA (301 nucleotides) under uncultured bacterium. RNAcentral's name for it is "partial 16S ribosomal RNA". It matches the Rfam family "Bacterial small subunit ribosomal RNA", at positions 509 to 807 of the family's 1533-position model. The record is from RNAcentral.
CAGUCGCCACGGUAAUACGUAGGGUGCAAGCGUUAGUCGGAAUUACUGGGCGUAAAGCGUGCGCAGGCGGUUCGUUAAGACUGAUGUGAAAUCCCCGGGCUUAACCUGGGAACUGCAUUUGUGACUGGCGGGCUAGAGUAUAGCAGAGGGGGGUAGAAUUCCACGUGUAGCGGUGAAAUGCGUAGAGAUGUGGCGGAACACCGAUGGCGAAGGCAGCCCCCUGGGCCAAUACUGACGCUCAUGCACGAAAGCGUGGGGAGCAAACAGGAUUAGAUACCCCCGUAGUCCCUGUCUCUUAUAC